Molecule: transfer RNA, 65 nt
Filed under: Eisenia nana
Lineage: Eukaryota; Metazoa; Annelida; Clitellata; Crassiclitellata; Lumbricidae
Description: tRNA-Lys
Source: RNAcentral
CAACUUGGGAGCUUGUAAAUAGCACUUGACUUUUAAUCAAGAGAUGAUAUUCUUAUCCUUAGUUA